GUUUGGCGCUCCCUUCGAUUUUGGUGGCCUUUUUUUCUCACUAUAUUUGCGCCCCUCUUGCUCUUUCUCCCUAUAUCCCCCAUGUGGUGCCGUCCCCCCUUCUCGCUCUUUCUGCGCAUGCCCCCACUCGCUCUGUGCCCCUUCUCGCUCUCUCUGCGCAUGCCCCCCUCUUACUAUAUGCCCCCUCUCGCUCUCUCUGCGCAUGCCCCUUCUCGAUCUCUCUGCGCAUGCCCCCUCUCGCUCUGUGCCCCUUCUCGCUCUCU
Molecule: non-coding RNA, 263 nt
Organism: Pelobates cultripes (western spadefoot toad)
Lineage: Eukaryota; Metazoa; Chordata; Amphibia; Anura; Pelobatidae
Source: the annotation of a GenBank genome assembly